Long non-coding RNA from Bubalus bubalis (water buffalo), 5892 nucleotides. RefSeq lists it as uncharacterized. The record is from RefSeq and is a predicted model, not a curated record. NCBI's taxonomy places the organism in Eukaryota, Metazoa, Chordata, Mammalia, Artiodactyla, Bovidae. The transcript has 3 exons.
UUACUUGUGUAUACAUUUUGUAUGUUCAUUACUCAAAAAAAUAAUUUGGAGGAAAACCCUAUUAGCAACCGCUGCUUCUAAGUGGUUCUCUUCCCUUUAUUCUUUCUCCUUUUUUGUACUUUCCAACGUUUCUGUAAGGAGCAGAAAACACUGUCAUAAUCAGAAAAGGAAAGGAUGACUAUGAUUUCUAAAGAUGCUCAAGACGUCAAGCCUUAGAACCCUGCUCCUUGUGCUUCGGCUUCAUCUUUCUCCAGAACACAGCUGGCCCGCUCCCGGAAGGCCUGUUCAAGACUGGGGCAGAACAUGGCUUUCCUCAUUGGACCCUGAGACAAGGAGAUGCCCUCUGGCCCCAGAGAGCACCCCAGUAAGACUGGCUUAACAUCCACAGCGAUUGCUCAUUUCCAAAGCGACCGACUUUUCAUUCACGUGAUAAGCCAUGUUCCUUUGGAGCUAAAGGGGAUAAAGAUGAGAUUCCCUCCUCCCCGCCCUCCAAGAGCUCACAGGUAUAUGGAGAUAAAUAGUCAGUGAUGAACUGUAACAGACGUAUUCAGAGGGUGAUCGAGAAGCGUCCGUUGAUGCUCGGGUGGGUUCAUGCUGCACGUGAAUGACCCGGGCGAGCACAUGAUUAAGAUGCUGCUGGCCUUGAUCGUUAUUGCUGCUGUUUUAGUCGCUCAGUCAUGUCUGACUCCUUGCAACCCCAUGGACCAUAGCCCACCAGGUUCCUCUGUCCAUGGGGUUCUUGAGGCAAGAAUACUGGAGUGGGUUGCCACGCUCUCCUCCAGGGGAUCUUCCAGACCCAGGGAUCGAACCUGAGUCUCCUGCAUGGCAGAUGGAUUCUUUCCUGCUGAGCCACCAGGCAGGCCUUUAAUAGGGGCCCCUAUAAACCAUGUGCUGGGGGUAUGGGGAAGAGAAAUAAGGGACUUGGAUCAUUAUUUUCUUUUCUUCCAUUUAAACAUCAUCUGAAGUCUGCACUGGAGUCCAAGGACCUGGGGUGCUCUCCUGGGAUUUCUCAAGGCUUCGGUUAGCCCUCAAGUCCCAUCUUUCAAAGGCCAAGUGAUUUGGUGGCUCCCUGCCCUCAACCAGAUCCCCCCUCCUCCUCCGCCCUGCCCUGACUUCCCAUCAGGGGAGGCAGAGAGGAGGCGGCUGUUGCUUCCCAAGCCUCCACCUCCUCCUGGUGCCCUGCGUGCCUGCCUUCACCCACAGUCAUGCCAGCUGCCCGUGUGGGAGGCUGCGCACCUCACACUGGUCUAAGCAGGAUGCUUGCAGGGCCCCGCUAGGCUCCCCCUCUCCCCGCUGGGUGACCCAGCACCCGGGGAGGCUGCAGUGCCCAGGCUGCGGCCUCACGCAUGCCCUCUGUUCCCAGGCCCUGUUGCCCGCCCCACCCUGGCAGGUGGCCCAUCGUGGUUGACCAACAGUGGGGCCGUGACCCAUUUCUUCCUCCUGGGCACAGGCAGGGGCAGAAGCGGGGCUGUGGUCUGCCCCUCCAACUUCCUGGUUGCCAGCUCAGGCGCCCAGAUGGAGCUGCCCAACAAUUGCCUCUGAAAAAACCAACAGGCUGGUAACCAUCACCUCAUUACCAGCAGGCUGAGCCCAUGUGGUGCAGAAGUCCCCAGGAGGCUGACCAGGGAAACCUGUGGACCAUCUCACCUCCACGGAGUGACUUUUCCCGUUAACUCCCAGACUCCAGGCCAACUGGAACCUGGCUCAUUAGUGCUGUGCAGCCAAACAGCAGCUGGGGAAGAGGUCUCUCUGGUACACGAUUUUCUUUCUCUCUCAGCCACAGAACUUCCUCCAAGGAACAGGCGCUCAACCUUCCGUUCUCAGAAGCAAAAACAAGCCGAGUCACACGUUUCUAUGAAUUCGCUCAGAAAGCCGAUGAUCAGUAAUAACACUAAACACGAGCGUCAGACUCAUCACAGAUCUCACCUGGAAGGGAGCCUCCCAGAGAAGAGGGGAGCUCCCGUCUCAGCUAAGUCACCAUCUCAGCGGGGACAAGGAAGAGGAGGGUGUCGUUUGUCUCUUGCAAAGAGUACAGACCAGGGCUCAGGAAGGUCACGGUCUUCUCCCAGCCCCACCGCCCCGCUGUGGCUCAGGCAGGGCUUACUCUGCAAAUGGGAAACCGAAAGCUCUGGGCCAGAGGGUUCUUAGCUGUCAUGAUGGGGCCCAGGUUUGUGGAUGACCGAUUGAAAUGAAGUGUUUCUACAACGGGAGUGGUACCUCCAGCAGAUACACUGACUCCUCCCAGUGCCUCCCAAGUUGGAAAUAAGAAAGGAACCAAUUUUCAGCGGCCACGCGUCAAGUGCCGUGUGGGGGUCCUCCCACCCGCUCUGAAACAGAAGCAGCUUUGAUGGGCUCCACAUACAGGGUUAUAGACUUCUAAGAUGCAGGCCUGUGAUCCUCUGAUAUAGCUCUGACAUUUUACAGAGAGGAACGAUCCCUGAACAUCUCAUGCAGAAAGAUGAGUUAAGACAAGGUGUCAGUACCUACUCCCUUAGAACAAUGGAAAAGCCCCGCCCCGAGGAUGUCCUCUGUAGUGACCCCCCCAACCCUGUAAGUUCUGUAAGGGUCCGUGGCCUUAACUUCAGAACAGCCCAGCGCUGACCCAGCCCUGCCGUUCUUUCUCACUCCCACCGAAUGUCUCCAUUCUCCGUGCCCGCACGACAACGUGAGCACGGUGUCAAGCCCUGGCUUUAUUAUUUUUUUUCCCCUGUGUCUUUUCUCCUUCCAUUGGUUUAGUGUGUGUGUUCUCUUCCCAAUUCCUGUUGCAUAACGUCAGAAUUGGUGCCAGACCUCUAUAGACAAGGAUUUGCCAAUAAGGGUGCUUGCAAUGAGACUGUGUCACUGUAUUUGGAGAAAUUAGGUGACCAGAGAGUUGGAUUUCAGUUCUAACGGCUGGAAAAGAUCCACGAGGUGCAGAACAAUGGGCGCAUUUAUCCGGUGGUGCCAGAGAACCCUAAACUGGGCUCAGAAGACACAGCUAUAAACCUUCAGGAGACCAUCCCAUUCCAUCCCAAACCGUCGGUUCUCACGGAACGGCGGGACGCCAGUGACAAUGAGCCAGUCGAGGUACACUUCUGUCUGUGAGGCGUGCUCCAUCAUGACAGCUUCAGGAAGGCUGGGUGAGGCUGUUCGGGAGAAAUUCUCUUCUUCCUCAAGUGGAGUGGGGUAAUCACAGGGAACUCCACAGGAAGUAGAUUCCCCCAGAGAGGUGAAUAGAUACCAGUGAGGGGGAAAAUGAAUAAAUAAUACUCGGUGAGAUUUGCAAUUCUGGAAAACCAAAACGCAAAAUACACUCAGGGCUGGCAGUGGCGAGGCACCUAUCCAAGUAAGAGCGUUACUUUUCUGUCGGAUUCCUCAGGGUGUUUUCUUAGAACAGGAGGAAAGUAACAGGAGUUCUUUUGGUCACCAAUAAGCUGUUUUAUGUAUAUUCAGAGGGGCUGACGUUCUUAUUGUAUCUAAGAGGCAAUGGUGUGCUUGUGCCUGGAAGAUACUGCAAAGAAGCUCAAAAAGCUACUGCUUCAGUGGCCUUUUGCGUGUCCCCUGGAGCUACUGAAAGAGAGUUGCAGCUUGUGCAUAAAAACGGGAGGAUGGACAGACAGACAGAUGAAUGAACAGGCAGAUGGAAUGAAACGUAGCGGGCCACAGUCCAUGGGGUCUCAAAGGGUUGGACGUGACUGAGCGGCUGAGCACACUACCCAAGUAACACAAAGCCCGACACGGGACAAGCUUUCACUGAGUAAAGAUCUGACACUUAAUGAUUUCAGUCAGGGUCAACUGGUCACUCCCUUUCAAGACUUAGGGAAACUCAGGGUCCCCUUACAUACUGGGGUAUUCCUUCCUUCAUCAAGACCUAGGGAUUCAAAUGCAUCAUCAGCGUCUUCAUGCCACACUGAGGCAUAUGAGCAAGUCCUUGGGGGUAAUUUCAGGGUCCCCGCUCCUCAAGAUGGUUUCUGAAAAUCCUGCUGUUGGUAGGAUGAAAACCUAAAGUGGGCUGGAGGCCGUGAAGGAAAGUGGGCCUUCUUCCAAGGCUCACAAGGAAGUCCAAAGAAAAACCCCAACACUCUUGCUGACGACCUCCCCAUUCCUGGCUCAGCUGUCCCCAGCAGGAGAGGUGUCCCCAUGGCCUAAAUCACCAUGAGUCCCUCAUUUUCAAGUGCUUUAACCUCAGAGCCCCCAUAUUCGUGGAAAGAUGACACAAAAGGAACAGAGUUAGAACUAAAAAAACAAGUCAGGUGUGCACGUGUUCAUUUUGCAGAGAGACCUGUCCUUCCCUUAGUGCAGGUUUCUGUUUGAAUCAACCGAGAAGACGAUAGUUUAAGGCAAGGCGAUUGCCGGGGUUGCCACUGAGAUCAUCACCGUCCUCUAGAGGAAAAGAGCCCGCAGACUGUGUCUCACUAGCUCUUUGUGCCCGGAGACAGUUCUGUCCCUCUUGGCCAAAGCCUUUCUGUAAAGUAUGCUGACUUUCCUACUCUCUCACUGUGGUCCAAUUUGAGUCUAUUCCACAAGCUUUCCCAUAGGAGCACUGGAAGUCGGGUGCUGGUUGGAGGAGUUUGCUUGAACCAGGAAACAGAGGUGAAACAUAAGACCCCCUGGGUCAAGAUGCUCUCAGAAUCAUGAGGGAAAACAGAGAGUCACAGGGCAAUUACAAAAGACUCGAGGAGGGGCAGGAUCCUGGUGAUGAAAAUGGUCUGCAUCUUGAAACCCAUAAACCUAUGCAUGUAAUAAGAUUGUAUUCAAUUUCUUCCAGUUGCAUGUGAAUCUGCGGUUGCCUUGAAUUUUUUAAAAAGUCAAACAGAUACGGAUAAUUUCCACACACAGUUACAGACCUCAUGCCAGUAUCGGAGCACUGAGUGGAAAUACACCAUCUCGCUUGGAUUAGGGAGAAGCAGCCAAAGAAGGUCUCCCUCAGAAGGGGACCUCAGCACAGGUCAUUUGGCUGUUGAAGAAACUGGAGCACUCGUCCUAAGCAGUUGCCCAUAUUCCGGAUGUGAAUGACUGCUUCUCCGUGGGGCUCAUUUCUCUCUCCUCUGUUUCGUGAUAGCAGUAAUUUGGCACCAUCGUCAGACUCACUGUCAUCACGUUUCUACCCCAUGGUCCCAGCGUCAUUGGAAAGGUGGGCGUGUGGACAAUCGAGUGCUAGCUUCUGGAAGUCUAAUUCCCCCAUCAUGUAACUUAAAACCAAGCCUUUCCUCCCCGCCACGUAGAACAAGGACCGCAAUCUGCCGUUGGCACUCAGGUUGGGAAAGUGAUUCUGGUACAAAGACAAUGCAUGGACUUGUGCAAUGGCCAAGUAGGGCCGGCCCUGCAGCUGCCCUCAGAGCAGGCGGCUUCUGGAAACAGACCUUUUUGACGGUAAGCCCCAAUAAAGCGGGUGGGUGUUAUAUUAAUGACUAGACUCUUAGUCACCUUGAGGGAACCGAGAUCAGAUGACACCAGGACGGUGGAGGGAGGUGAGAUGUUUGCAGUUUAGGCUGCAGAUGUGAGCUUAAUCUCAGGAGUAUUUUCAUGAUCGCUCUGAUGCUUGGAUGAAAUGCCUCACAUACUGCUUACUAGGCUACCAGAUGAGAGGCAGGGAUGAAGUGAGGAAGCCCAAGCUAAGCUAUUUGCCUGAAAAAACCUAUCCUCUGAGAAGGCCAGGAAAAGGGAUAUACUUCAUCCUUAAAACAAAAUCUUCACUCUUCAGAUCGGCCUGUGCAUUUUAGAACUCCAAAACAACCCACGAACAGACCACAGCAUAUCGUGUGUGUGUGUGGGUGGGUGGGUGUGUGUGUACAUGUGUUAGCUGCUCAGUCAUGUCCAACUCUUUGCAGCCCCAUGGACUAUAGCCUACCAGGCUCCUCUCCAUGGAAUUCUCCAGGCAAAAAUAUUAGAGUGCGUAGCUUAGCAAACACC